CAUCUACGGAGAGUUUGAUCCUGGCUCAGGACGAACGCUGGCGGCGUGCUUAACACAUGCAAGUCGAACGGUGAACCUCUUCGGAGGGGAUCAGU
RNAcentral lists this ribosomal RNA (95 nucleotides) under Geodermatophilus nigrescens. RNAcentral's name for it is "partial 16S rRNA. Bacterial SSU". It matches the Rfam family "Bacterial small subunit ribosomal RNA", at positions 1 to 96 of the family's 1533-position model. Lineage: Bacteria; Bacillati; Actinomycetota; Actinomycetes; Geodermatophilales; Geodermatophilaceae. The record is from RNAcentral.